RNAcentral lists this small nucleolar RNA (108 nucleotides) under Oryza sativa (Asian cultivated rice). RNAcentral's name for it is "Z134b small nucleolar RNA". Lineage: Eukaryota; Viridiplantae; Streptophyta; Magnoliopsida; Poales; Poaceae. The record is from RNAcentral.
AGGGAUAUACAUGAUGCAAAAAAUUUUUGUGCCCAAUCUGUUGAUUUUUCUGUACUGUGACUAUUCUUUUAUAUUGAUAUAUUGAAUAGGAACAUCUGGUAGAUUCCU